GGGCCCGCACAAGCGGUGGAGCAUGUGGUUUAAUUCGAUGAUACGCGAGGAACCUUACCAGGGCUUAAAUGUAGUGGGACAGGUCUAGAGAUAGACCCUUCUUCGGACUCAUUACAAGGUGCUGCAUGGUUGUCGUCAGCUCGUGCCGUGAGGUGUCAGGUUAAGUCCUAUAACGAGCGCAACCCCUAUCGUUAGUUGCCAGCGGGUAAUGCCGGGAACUCUAGCGAAACUGCCGGUGCAAACCGUGAGGAAGGUGGGGAUGACGUCAAAUCAUCACGGCCCUUACGUCCUGGGCUACACACGUGCUACAAUGGUCGGUACAGAGAGCAGCCACUACGCGAGUAGGAGCGAAUCUUCAAAACCGAUCUCAGUUCGGAUCGGGGUCUGCAACUCGGCCCCGUGAAGCUGGAAUCGCUAGUAAUCGGAUAUC
RNAcentral lists this ribosomal RNA (430 nucleotides) under uncultured bacterium. RNAcentral's name for it is "bacterial SSU rRNA". It matches the Rfam family "Bacterial small subunit ribosomal RNA", at positions 917 to 1350 of the family's 1533-position model. The record is from RNAcentral.